RNAcentral lists this unclassified non-coding RNA (416 nucleotides) under fungal sp. RNAcentral's name for it is "partial internal transcribed spacer region". The stretch from base 1 to 46 matches the Rfam family "Eukaryotic small subunit ribosomal RNA", at positions 1786 to 1831 of the family's 1831-position model. The record is from RNAcentral. Lineage: Eukaryota; Fungi.
AAGUCGUAACAAGGUUUCCGUAGGUGAACCUGCGGAAGGAUCAUUAACACGUAUCCAACGUUAAACAACCCUGUGAACUUUAAGUCCCCUCUUGCAGCCCAUGAGGAACAGCAAUCCCGGUAAAUCAUUGCCAAACAGUUUUGAUUCAGAGACCUCUGGCCCGUGCGAACAUUGGAACAGUUACAAUCGACUGCGGUAGUUCUAUAGGCAUUGUUUCCCCAAGCAGUCAGUGUCUGAAAGUGUCAUUGAUUGUGCAAGGAUAGCGCUUCACGAUUCCUGCAGACCGUACACUCGGGCAGGAGCUAUGCCAAAGGGUCCCCAUGCCCCCUUAUAACCCCACAGUUUAAUGUGAAGCUCAAUGUAAUACAUUGGGUAAAAAAACCGAACAACUGUUAACAAUGGAUAUCUUGGUUCUC